CUAAAAUUAUUAGAUCGACUAAAGAAAUAGAGACCUAUUUUAUAUGAUGAUACCUUGUGAAAUUAAGGUUGACAGGCGAUAGACUUUGCCUGGAGAGGCACUUGAGAGAGAAAAGUAAUCAAUGGAGAAAGUUCUAGGGAAAUGUUAGCAUAAGAAUGAGUGGUUUCAAAUAGUCUGCUCAUAAAUUCCGGCUGGACUUCAGAAGUUUGCUCACAGAUAGAGGAAAUGAGGUUCUGGAAUGACUUUCCAAUAGUAAUGGGAAAAGCAAUCAAGCGAGUUGUGAAGAUGAAAUAAGUUUUGUGCAGGUAACUGUGCUAUAAAAUUAUAAUCUCAUUCAUUCCCCGGGAACUUCCUCACGGGCCUGUGUUUCGGUCCUAGUGGAAAUUCCCCAGUGGGCAGGACUGGGGCUCUGCUGGCAGAAUGGCAUCCUCUAAAGACUUAUUUCUCUGAAAUUUCAUAAAAACUUCUCCUAAGCUUUCAGGAAUCUUUAUGGAUAAAAAGUGGGUUGGGGUGGCCCUGGCUGGAUGCUCUCUCACAUCCCACUCCUCAACACGUCCCAUUGUUCAUGUGCUGGUGGAGAAGAUGGGAGGUAAUUUGUUGAUUCUUCUGCCACUGUGCCUUGAAGUAUAGAAAAUAUUCCUUUUUUUUUUGAGUAUUUCUAACUCUCUUCACAGUUGGCAUCUCUAAAGGCCUCUGAGAGACUUAAACAGCAACAUUCCCAUUUUCCACAUGAAAAUAAACCUUGCCAGCUUGGCUAGAACUAAUUUUCUAAUUAAUGGCUCCCUGAUUUUCUCUUUUCCUUAGAAGCUGUGGUAUUCCUGUGGAUAACAGCACUUUUGUUGUUGUUAGGCUUGUUUGGGUUAUUUUUCCCUAGUGAGUGUCUCUUUUGAUUUAACUGUAGACACUUAGGGAGAACAAUAUGGAGGAGAUAAAUGAAAGUGCACAGAAAAUAUUCAUUAAAAAUAUAGGUCCUUGUCUCGCCACAGAAGAGCAAGAUGUAAGAUUGCUUUUCUUUAGAUCCUUUUCUCAUGGCCUAUUAACAACCCCUUACCUUUUUUUUCUUUUUAAACUUUGUAUUUCUUUCCCAAAAGUCAGCAAUGUGUUUAAUGAGUGAAAACAUUCUCCUUUAAAGGUCACCCCACUUCAGAUUGACUUGACUGUUGAUUGCACUUGAGCUCAUAGCUUUCAUUCACAUUAACCCCAUUUGUUUUUAAUUAAGCAGUGUCUUUUGAGCAAAGACAGUCCAUCACUGCUGUCAAAAGGUAAAUUUUACUCUUUAAUACCAAGCCUUGUAUUUCAGUUUAACAGAGAUGAAGCUUUGAGAGCAAUUUACUCAGACUAUGGAUUUUUAAGCAGGAAUGCAAAUUGUCUCACAAGUUGCCAUGGCCCAAUUUAAUCUAAUAGCAUUCAAAGUGAAUUCUAACAGAAACAACUCACUCAGCCACAGUUCCAGCUGCAUAUUUUCAUGCAUUUCCUUGGUAUCCAGUGUGUACCAGGCAUCAUUUUUGUUUAUUAACACUGACCCUGUCCAGUAAAGACCCUUCCAGAACUGGUGGGCUCCCCCUUCCUCUCUUCCCAUCAGAAAAGUCCUUUGCUAGUGGUAUUCACAAAAUAUGGCUUUGGGGUUGGCUAAGCAAACACAAGCUUUGAUAUAAGGGUUAUAGUGCUUAAAAAAUGCAAAACAAAUAAACAAAAAAAUCACCCCAAAGACCCACAGAUUUUUGGGGUAAGCCCUGGGUUUGUGUUUUUCAUCAGCUUACUUAAUUUUUCCUGUUUUCUGAAGUGCAUCAAAGAAGAGAACGUGGAGAAGGUUGUCUGGGAUCAAUUAGCAGCAGCUCUCUGAAUUAGCAGCAUAGCAAAUUUGGAGGAUCCUGUGCCAAGACCUGUUGAUGGUGAAAACAUUGGUUCUUUUUUUUUGCAGGAGAAUUUAACAGCCAAGUCCUUUCUGUCUGCAUGGGAGACCCCAUUGCCCUUAACUUUGGGAGAAACAGGAGACCAAGCUCCCCAAGAUGUGGGCAAAGCAGCAUUUCAUGGCAGAGCACUUGUGGAAAUGCCCCACAGCAAGAUGUGCCUAUUUUGAAUUUCCUUGGGAUAUUGCCACGGUGCUCUUCGAGAGGCAACAAGUGACAGGAGUGUUCCUUGAGCUGCUGUCUCAUAUCCAAUUCCAGCAUAUUACAGAACAUUUCCUAAGGAAUUCAGUCUUCUCAGCCUGCCCUGCUGCCGUAUCUCCAGUUUCCAUAAAGGCAGAGAAGUCGUCCAGGUCCCAGGGAAGCUGAUGGGAGAUCUGCAAUCCAGUGGAAGCAAGAUUGGAAGCUCCUGCCCACAGUGUGUGAACAGGACAGAAAGGCAUCAUUGUGCUCCAGGUGAGGAUGAGAAGGGGUAGAACUACUGGAGGGUGACUCACCCCAGACUCACAGCUGUGAAAAAUAAAAACAUUCCAUUUUGAAGGCUUGAAGAGGUAUCAAAAAUGAAGCUGAAAGGCUGAUUUUCUUGCCUAUGAAGGAAUACUUGCCAUACUCUAAUUCCUCCCUGCAAUAGAUGUUUAUUUAGGUAAAGUUAAGCAGCAGCAGCAGUAGCUUCCUUGGAUACAAAUACAUCUGAAACUGUGGCAAAGAGUUUAUGCUUUUAGGAGAGUCAGAGUUCAGACCUGGGGAGAAUAAGACAGUCAGACUGCAUUUUUUCUCUCCAGGGAACAGAUAAAAUUUUGGUAUGUUCUCUUCCUUCCACUUCAGGUCUGGAAAACUGCCCCCAACUAUCCAUUUCCUUUUUUUUUCCCCUUACAAGACACCCAAAAGGUUGUGUGAAGGGAUUGCUUAAGGGGAUUCUUUUAGUUGUCAUUUUCUGCCCUUCGGGUACCUCAUUCAGAGAAGAAGAGAGUAGGGUUAUGCCAUACAUGAACUCCCUAAUUAGCUUGGUCUUUGCAUGUUAAGUGUUUUGAUUAGUUAAUUUUGGGUUACACAACUUUAAUUGAGUGUUAAUGUUCACCCAUCAGUCCAGGUACAAAUAUCAAGUUCUGCUAUUAGUGUUUUCACUUGUUCAAAGCAGUUUAUCUGCACCAGUUCCAGUUAAAAUCCCCUAGUUAAAAGUGUCCCAGUUAAAAUUCCCUUUCCAACUUUAAAAAAAGUUGUUUUUCUCAUGUUCUCUGUAUACUUUUGCAAAUGUUUUAAGAUGUGUUGGAUGUAUUUUAAUAUUUAUUUUAAGGGUUUCUACUUUGCUCAGAACCAGCUCCAAACCCCAGUUUCUAACAGCCAACAGCCAGUUUUAGACCUUUAGCCGUUGGUCUGUAAGUAAGCUCCAUGGCAA
Corvus hawaiiensis (hawaiian crow) is the source of this 3303-nucleotide long non-coding RNA. RefSeq lists it as uncharacterized. Lineage: Eukaryota; Metazoa; Chordata; Aves; Passeriformes; Corvidae. The record is from RefSeq and is a predicted model, not a curated record. The transcript has 6 exons.